Long non-coding RNA from Cannabis sativa, 803 nucleotides. RefSeq lists it as uncharacterized. The transcript has 2 exons. Lineage: Eukaryota; Viridiplantae; Streptophyta; Magnoliopsida; Rosales; Cannabaceae. The record is from RefSeq and is a predicted model, not a curated record.
CUCAGUAGCCUAAAAUGGACCACUAGAAUAACGACUUUCUAACCAAGUGAACAAUUUUACUUUGUUCUCUUCAAUUAGGCUAUGGUGGUACAAAAUACAAAUGCCUAAACCUAAAGCCAUAUAGCUAGCUUAGAAUCAGGAGACUAAGUUAAAUAAAAGUAUUUAGUUUCAGAAUUUUCUGUUUUUGCAGAGAAAUAAAAUAUGACUGUAUUAUGCAAAGGGAGGGUAAUAUGCUGUUGUUGAAUCUAAUUUGCUCACUUAAGAAACUAUGAGAAAGAGACAAAAGCCACUUUUUAGAAAUUUAAAAGCAAAAGUCAAUGUUAUAUGAUGGGCAAGGGGCAACUAUUCAAAACCCCAAUGCAAAACACACAAACACAGAAAACAGUAUAAAAGUGAAUGGGUUGGAGGGAUCAGAUCAGGCUGAGAGAGAAGAAUGUGAAAGGCAGAGUGGAGGAAUUGAAGGGUUUGGAAGAGAGAGGGUGAUGACUGAUGUGUUAUAAGAGUUAAGUCUUUCAUCAAUAUGUACAUAUAUAUAUAUAUGUAAUAUGGAAAGGUUUUUGAAUUCUCUGUUUAAAAUUCUAUGGGGGACGCUUUGUUAGCAAAAAAAAACUAUGGAAGAUGCUUUUAGACUACCGACCAACCACUUUAUUUUUUUUUUAUUGUAUUUUUCAUGUUUUCGUGGACGGAGAAAAGUAAUUAUGAAUCGUUUCCUUUAUCAAAAAAAGUGGUCUAUGAAUAGUCCAUAAUAAUCACGUUAUUAUUAUGAAAAAAAAUGUAAUUAUCAUUUGUAUUUUUUACUGUUA